GGCUGACACAAUCCGAGCCCCAGCCCCCGCCGGGCCUUUUUGUCAGGUGGAAACCUAAGCUAAGCAAACAUACAAAAAAGUGUUAGUAUGCUCAACGCGACACUCGCCAGCCUCCAAUUUUCCACACCCCCUGGCCAGCCCGGGCCGUCCUGAAAUGUCCUUUUAGCCCAGGACAUGGCACACAUACGGAGAAGAGAAAAAAUAUUUUUAAUGGUCUUUUGGCCAGCAAAGCGGACGAAGAGGAUACAAAGGACGAGAUCCAGUGCCAGAACUACAGGCAGGAAGCCAAGGCGCAAGCGAAUUGUCGAAAGUUGAAUGAAUUGUCGGUUGAAUCGAAGGGACAGGUGUUAUCCUGUGGUAAUAUUUGUGUCCGAAACUAUUUGCAUAUGCCAGGCCAGGCUGGUUAUUUGUGGAAUGGUAAUCAGGGAUCAGAAAGGAUAGCAAGGUAAUUGCAUUAAGGAAAAGCUAAUUUGGAGCUGGAAUAAUCCAUGAAUUUAAAGUUCUUCAAACUGCCGUCAGGACACGUGACAUUAAGGCCACCAAUGCCAAAGCUUGCCAAUCAAUUUAUGCGAUUCUGGGCCACCACUUUCCCCGAUUCCGACACUCGAACAACUCUUUAAACCAUUUACGUUUUGUCAUAAUUGCAAAUUUCGUUAUCAGAUCAUAACGAAUAAAUAGAGGGGAUCCUGGGGCGAGAGCCACACAAACAGACGCCAAACAUGACCUUUAUCAAAUCAGACUUAAUUCCCAUGAAAUCCGCAUCAACUGCGUGCAACAUCGCUGACCUUGCCCCGGCCCCUGGCCGAUGCUAAACCAGAAACCAACUUCCACACAAUAAAAGUAGAAAUAAAUCGGCACAGAGGCAGGAGGAUAUAUAGAAACACA
Molecule: long non-coding RNA, 885 nt
Organism: Drosophila ananassae
Lineage: Eukaryota; Metazoa; Arthropoda; Insecta; Diptera; Drosophilidae
Exons: 2
Source: RefSeq, a predicted model, not a curated record